GGAUGCGGGGGUGCUGUGUGGGAACGGGGCGCGGGGAUGGGGUGCUCGAAGCCCUCCGGGUGUCUGCGGGCAGGGCCCGGGUGGGCUCUGUCCCCCCACAGCCGGGCUUGCAGCCCUUCCGCGGUGCUCGCUGGCAGAUGGUUCAGACGCCGCUUUUUGUUUUUCUUAAUUCCUAAAAAAACCCCUAUAGUUGGGGAAACUCCUCCCUGCAGUUUGCUGGGAGAGGCCGGGCCGUGGGGAUGGGAUUGGGCUGGGACUCAUCGCGCUCGUCCUGGGGGCACGGAGAGCCCGGCUGCGAGCGGGGUGCGGAGCCCAGCAAGGGACAGGUCGGAGAGCACCGGGCCAAGGGGGGCGAGCAGAGGAGAAACUGGCUGUGCGCGGGGGGAGCGUGACCAGACUGGCCUGGCUCCGGCGCUGUGCUGAAGGGGGAACAGAAAAUAAACUGCAGAAAGGGGGAAAAGUCAGUUUUGUUUUCAGCUGGCUGGAGCAGGGCUCGGUUCUGCGUGCAGCACGGCGAGGGGAGGCUCUGGGAAGUGCGCUGGGAUGGGGGGUUUGGACUGAGCAAAACGGCAUCGGAGGGGCUGCUGGACGAGCAUCUGUCCUGAAGUCUGAGAUGCUGCUUUGAUCCGGGGUGGGGGGGGGGGGGGGAGAGAAAACGAUCCCCUGGGCUGGGCUGUGGCUGCAGGGACCUGAAGCACAUCUGUCCCCUUGGUGUCCCGAUCUUUGGAAGACGGUUCUUACUCUCCUUUAGAAAUACAAUUUCAAAAUUGCUCGAUCUUUUGAUAUUUGAAGAGUUUGGGUUUCAGGUUGGGGGGUUUUGGCUCUGAACUUCUUUUCUGUAAUACCAAAUUUUAUGUGUUUUCCACAGAGAAAUCAUAAGCACAAACUGCAGCUGGUGCUGCUGUGGGCAGCAAGGAUCACUGGGAGCAAGGGAUGUGCUCCCCACAUUGCUGGGCUUCUGGGGACACCAGCUGUGCCCCCCUUCUGUGCCCUUUGGGGACAAACCUGGUAAAAUGAUUGCACUUGGAGCCCUUCAGGCUCUAAACCAGACACGAGGUGCCAAAAGGGGAAAUUUUAUGGUCCUGCCUGUACUGGAAAGGCCUGAGGGGCACUGCUCAGAGGUGCAGGGUUGAGGUCUGCAGGAUGGGAAGCCUCAGAGCUGAUCCUCCUCAGGAGGAGAGAAGGAGCUUUCAGGACAUAAACUUGGAUGUAAACAGGGGGAAAUGACCGCCAGCUCGCCGGUCGGGUGGCUUAGGGGAGAGCAAAGGGGCGUGUGCUGCAGCUGCACACUCUGCCCGGGGACACCCCGGUCCUCAGCCCCUGCACGGGCCGGGUGAGCUGGCAGCUCCCCCAAACAGUGACAUCAUAAACCCGAUAUUAGGCAACAGCCUAAGACUAACAACAGGAUUCUUCUUACUCUUUUUUUUUUUUUUUUUAACUUACUUUAGAAAAGAUUACCCAGGUGAAGUUAAACCCCGGAGUUCAGCAAACCCGGAUGAAUCCCCAGGAGCAAGCCCCGCUCCGUGGCUGCUGAAGGGAGCUCAUGGACUCACUUCAAACUCAAAGAGCAACUUUUGACAAACACUCCAUCAAAAACUGGCUGAUACUUGCUUGGUUCCUAAUCCUCCCUGAGCUGUUUCCCCGUUGCUAAUCUCCCCCGGGAACCAUUAAUAAAUCUUUCCUGGUUUGCAACGCUAAUUCUGGACAAAGGCACCAGGAACCAGCAGUGCCUGGGCCCGUGUCCCUGCUCUUUGCAUGUUCUCCAGGAAGAUUGUUCGGCUUUUAAUGAGGCUAAUUAAAAAGAAACAAAAAGUAAUAAAUCAAUCCCAUUAAUCUGUAAUAAAUUGAAGUGCUACAGUCCUUCCCAAAGCAUUGGGGACUGCCAGCUCCCAACAGGCUGCAAUGCAAAAUCACUGUUAUUAUUAUUUAGAACAACUCAGUGAUGCCCCAUAGUGCCACAGUGCCAGCCCAGCGAUGCUUCCCUGUUCAUCCAUGGCUUGGAGUCCCUUGGAGCAGGGGGGAUCCUGCUGCAGCUUGUCCCACACACAUCCCUGGGCAUCUCCUCAUGUUCUGCUUCCUUGGUUCAUGGCUCUUCCUGCCCGCCCAGGGUCCCUGGGCUGCAGGCCACUGACAGCUCCAGCGGAACCAAAUUACCGUUUGGAAUUACCAUGAGAUAAUUGGCCUCAUUUACUAUUUAAAGAUGGGGGGAAAAAAAGCUCCUUCUUGCAGACAACUGCAGUGGAGAAAUGUUCAGGCAUAGAUGAUGUCCCAAAACAUAUCAUUAAAGCUUUAAAUAAACGUACGACGACAUCUCA
This is a long non-coding RNA of Corvus hawaiiensis (hawaiian crow), 2315 nucleotides long. RefSeq lists it as uncharacterized. The transcript has 2 exons. Lineage: Eukaryota; Metazoa; Chordata; Aves; Passeriformes; Corvidae. The record is from RefSeq and is a predicted model, not a curated record.